GGAUCCGGAUUCUGAGAAAUCAAUUUUUCGCAGUAGGUGUGCCACUUUGGAAGGAGGAUUUGGGCAUGGUCCAGUUAGAUAGGGAAGGGGUUUGGUAGCAUGGAUUCACUUGUCGGACUCCUGAAAGCUGUGCCAUAAGCUUGCUACGAGGGGGGUUUCAUGCCAAUUUCUCCUCGCCGAUUUCAAGAUCUUCGUGCACCUGAGCAUUGAUUGGGCACGCUCACAUGAAGCAUUUUACGCGCAGUGAGGGAAAUGCAUCAGUACAGUACAGUAUUUUUGAAUUAUUUCAAAAACGUUGUCAACACUAGUAAUAGCACUCGACUCGUCUCGACUCGAUUGAAGGAUUACUUAUUAGUGGUGUCGAGUCUGAAGCCCGAGCCAAUGCUGUAGUUGCUGAAGCCCCAUCCUAUGGAAUACUACCAACUCCCCGGCACAAGUCUGUGAUGCCGUACUGCACUGCAGACGCGUGCUCGACCCCGUUGGAAAUGUACGCAACAGUGCCCACCCUCCUGACCAGGGAUCGCACAAACCCUGCGUUUUGUCGGGUCUGUUCGACUCCUGGCUCUUGACCUUUGGUCGGUGUACGAGAUGCACGAACAGUUUUCGUAGGCUGCGCAAGGAAUUCAAACUGACGCACUGUCACUAUCAACGUUUUCAUUGCUGAGAUCAUCACUCGUACACGCAGCUGAUCCAUCACUAUCGGACACACGAGUCGUCACAAUCUGAGUUUGGCUGGGCAUGAUUGGACUCAGUUUCGAGUUGCGAUACGUCACCGGACGUACUUUGCUGUGGUGGUUGCUCUGGCCUACUGUUGAGCGGACUUGCGCAUGUACCUUCGCAGCGGCAGAUGUCAGUGCACGCAAGAGAUGACUUCUUGCAUGAGCAGCGUUGAGUGUCACACACUCCUCGGCACCCGCAGCUGAUGAGGCUCUGCAGUUCUUUUGGCACUGCCUGCUGUUCUGUCCAAUUCACAGCAACUCUGCCUGAAGGAAGAAACAAACAUUGUCACAGACAGUUAAUUUAUUCCUCGCGUAUAUUUUUGCAGUAGACAGUCAUAGAUAUCUGGUUAAAUGGGAAGGGCAGCACUGUAUCCUUUAUCCUUUUAUCUGCUAAUUACAAUUCUUUCAACCUUGCAGUAUGUUUCUCAAUAUCCGCAGACUCCACUGUAGCCUUUGUAGACGCGUACCAUACCAUAAUAAUUACACAAGUGUAAAUUUCCUCACGCGAUCCAAAGUUGGGUACAUUAUCGGUGCUAAUUAUUUAUCGGAACAACUUACCGUCGCUGUCUUGAAUCCAUCCUCUGCCGAUGGGCGUAGGCACAUCGGGCUUCGGUUGCAAAGCCAGUCGCCACACAGUAGCCUGGUAAUUAGCGCGUGCUGUGUGGACAUUAUGUAGCUCUAACACA
Sycon ciliatum is the source of this 1405-nucleotide long non-coding RNA. RefSeq lists it as uncharacterized. The transcript is spliced from 3 exons. Lineage: Eukaryota; Metazoa; Porifera; Calcarea; Leucosolenida; Sycettidae. The record is from RefSeq and is a predicted model, not a curated record.